This 383-nucleotide ribosomal RNA is filed under the name uncultured eukaryote. RNAcentral's name for it is "partial 18S ribosomal RNA". It matches the Rfam family "Eukaryotic small subunit ribosomal RNA", at positions 592 to 976 of the family's 1831-position model. The record is from RNAcentral.
CAAUAGCGUAUAUUAAAGUUGUUGCAGUUAAAAAGCUCGUAGUUAGAUUUCUGGUGGGAGCGAUCGGUCUGGCGCUUAGCGCGAGUACUUGCAUCGUCUCCGGCCAUCCUUGGGGAGAGUCUGUCUGGCAUUAGGUUGUCGGGCAGAGGAUCCUCAUCGUUUACUGUGAAAAAAUUAGAGUGUUCAAAGCAGGCUUAUGCCGUUGAAUAUAUUAGCAUGGAAUAAUAAGAUAGGACUUUGGUACUAUUUUGUUGGUUUGUGCACCAAAGUAAUGAUUAAUAGGGACAGUUGGGGGUAUUCGUAUUCCGUUGUCAGAGGUGAAAUUCUUGGAUUUACGGAAGACGAACUACUGCGAAAGCAUUUACCAAGGAUGCUUUCAUUAA